This 80-nucleotide ribosomal RNA is filed under the name Ensifer sp. ENS04. RNAcentral describes it as "partial 23S ribosomal RNA". It matches the Rfam family "Bacterial large subunit ribosomal RNA", at positions 2853 to 2925 of the family's 2925-position model. Lineage: Bacteria; Pseudomonadati; Pseudomonadota; Alphaproteobacteria; Hyphomicrobiales; Rhizobiaceae. The record is from RNAcentral.
UUGAUAGGCUGGGUGUGGAAGUGCGGCAACGCAUGAAGCUUACCAGUACUAAUCGUUCGAUUGGCUUGAUCGUUCCCAUU